GGCCCUUUGAGGAGUCAGAGGGAACAGGACAACAUUGUCUAAACUCUUCUUUGAGUUCUGCCAGCUUAUCGAGUACAGAAAAAUCUUCUGGCCCUGUGGUUUUCAAGCCUGGCUGCACACUAGAUCUCCUGGAGUACUUUCAGAAAAAUAGCCACGGGUAUGACAUGUGUAGUGGCAUUCUUAAAAAGCUCUCCAGGUGAGUCUCAUGUUCAGUGGGAAAUUGAUAGCCAACCUAAUGGCUGAAAUUUCUUUCUU
Molecule: long non-coding RNA, 255 nt
Filed under: Mus spicilegus (steppe mouse)
Lineage: Eukaryota; Metazoa; Chordata; Mammalia; Rodentia; Muridae
Description: lncRNA (ENSMSIG00000005057.1)
Source: RNAcentral